RNAcentral lists this ribosomal RNA (599 nucleotides) under uncultured bacterium. RNAcentral describes it as "bacterial SSU rRNA". It matches the Rfam family "Bacterial small subunit ribosomal RNA", at positions 45 to 690 of the family's 1533-position model. The record is from RNAcentral.
GGCCUAACACAUGCAAGUCGAGCGCACCCUUCGGGGCGAGCGGCGGACGGGUUAGUAACGCGUGGGAACGUGCCCAGAUCUACGGAAUAGCCACUGGAAACGGUGAGUAAUACCGUAUACGCCCUUCGGGGGAAAGAUUUAUCGGAUUUGGAUCGGCCCGCGUUAGAUUAGGUAGUUGGUGGGGUAAUGGCCUACCAAGCCUACGAUCUAUAGCUGGUUUUAGAGGAUGAUCAGCAACACUGGGACUGAGACACGGCCCAGACUCCUACGGGAGGCAGCAGUGGGGAAUCUUAGACAAUGGGGGAAACCCUGAUCUAGCCAUGCCGCGUGAGUGACGAAGGCCCUAGGGUCGUAAAGCUCUUUCGCCAGGGAUGAUAAUGACAGUACCUGGUAAAGAAACCCCGGCUAACUCCGUGCCAGCAGCCGCGGUAAUACGGAGGGGGUUAGCGUUGUUCGGAAUUACUGGGCGUAAAGCGCGCGUAGGCGGAUUGGAAAGUUGGGGGUGAAAUCCCAGGGCUCAACCCUGGAACUGCCUCCAAAACUAUCAGUCUAGAGUUCGAGAGAGGUGAGUGGAACUCCGAGUGUAGAGGUGAAAUUCG